GAAGAUGAUUAACAGAAAAAGCAAAAAUAUAAGAUAGCAAAAGAAAAAAAUUAUGCAGAUUACCUAGGGUGAUAGGGAGUCAAGGAAGAGUCACUGCUAGCUGUUUUUUAUCUUUCUUUCACAAUAUCCCAUAUAUCCAGUAAGGACAUUGCUGAUGGGAGAAGAGGUGUAUGCCUUGCUUUGCAGAGUCUAUAGUUUGGUGGUGAAGUGAUGCUUUGAUCACAGAAUAUUUUUUCCUAAUGACAUUUUAUAGGAUUAGAAAUGUGUUUUCUGGAAGAAAGUAAUGUUUACUCCAAGUCAAAAAUCAUGUCCUGAACUGGAGUCAGCUUCUAAAAAAGUACAAUGUGUAAAUGCCAAGACUGAGAGGGAGUUUUUUUGAGUACAAAGUAUUACUCAGAAUAAGCUAAGAAACACAAAUAUUUUCUUCUUAAGGCAACUCCCACACCCAGGCAAGGCAGUGUGGUGGCUAAGAGCACAGACUUUCGAACCAGACAGCUUAGUUUCCACCCCUGCUCAUCUACUUCUUAGUGAGUGGCCCUGGCUAAUUUCUCAGUGGCUUGUUUUCUUUUUUUCUUCCUCCCUCCCCACUUCCUUCCUACUGUCUCCCUUCCUUCCUUCUUUCUUUCCAGUAUGGGGCUACUUAAAAGCACUUUACCUCAUAAUAUUGUGGUGAGUAUUAAUGAGCUUCUGUAUGAAAAGUUGUGAGGACACUCAGAAUAUCCCUUUUAAUUUAUGUAUCACUAGAACACAAAUCACCCCAACACAUAGCUUAAAAGAAGAAUCAUCAUUUAUGUUCACCAUUUCUGAAGGUCUGGAGUUCAGGAGCAGCUUAGCUGGGUGAUUCUGGCUCAAGACUUCUCAUGAAGUUGGAGUCAGAUGUCUGCUGAGGCUAAGGUCAUCCAAAGGCCCAACUGCGCUGGAGAGUCCACUUCCACUCACAUGUCUGGCAAGUUGGCACGGGCUGUUGGCAGGAGACCUCAGUGCAUCUUUACAUGAGCCUCUCCAUGGGAUCGCCUGAGUGUCCUCACAACAUGACUGCCAGCUUCCCCUUGAGUGAGUGAUCCAGGAGACCAAGGUGGAACUGCAGUGACGUGUACGGCCUAGACUUGGAAGUCACACGUUGUUGCUUCUCCUUUAUUCUACUCUUACUCAGGAGGAGGGAACUGCACAAUGGCAUGAUUAUCAGGAGGUGACCAUCAGUCGGGGCCAUCUUGGGGGCUGGCUACCACACCCUUUGGGGAGGGACUGUUUCUAUGGGUAUGGGACAGUUAAAUACAGAAUAUUUUAAAGUAGCGGACUCCAUAUGGACACUCAGCAUUAUUUUCUCAAAGAAGAGUUUUGUGAACAUGACUGCAUUGCUCUAACUCACAUCUCAGGUGUUUUGGUUUGUAUUUCCCUGAAAGUAGAACCUGGGGCAAGGACUUGGUUACCUUCCCCUGGGGAGGUAACCACCCCUGCCUGUCAGGUUGGUACUUACAUUCAGGGUCAGAGGUCCUUAUGGUGUUGGGGGAGGCUCUGAGUUAAAGUGGCAACCUUGGCUCUUUCUGCAGGUGGGAUACUGUGAGCUCAUAGGUGGGCUGAGGGAUGUGAUGUGGACCCUAGAGACAUUUGCUCCAUCAGGUUUGCAGGACCUAGGGAUUAAAUAGAUAUGUUAGUUUGGCUCCUCCAAGAAGCAGAUGUCAAGAGAAGGUUGGACAUGCAAGGAAUAUAAUGGGGAAUGUGCCCUGUGGAAGAUGGGAGGAAAUUGGAAGAGGCUGGAUGAGCUACCAGACGGUGAUACAAGUCUGCGCUCUGGGGGAGGAGACAAGAAGAAAAAAAGGUUGGGUAGAAAGAGUCUCAGAUGGUGGCACAAGUUGAAGAAAGGUUCAGCCAGGCUGAUGGGGGGAGCUCAAGCCAAAACCUCCCAUGGAAAGCAUCCUGGGUUUCACAGGACUGCCUGCCCUGUUGUGCAGCCUGUGUGUAGCAUGGCCUUGGUGCCAAUGUAGGAGUGGAUUCAUUUCAACUCGGCCAGCAGGCAAUUACCCUCCCUCAGUUACGGAUCUCAGAGGCACAUCCUCCUGGCAGCCAGGAGGUUUUGUGCAUGAGCAGCACAGGUAGUUGCAACAAGUUUUGUAUUUGGGAAAACCACAGGUCACCCUGAGAUAGUAAGAUCUUUCCUUCUAUCUUCUGUCUGCCACAUUGUCUGAAAUUCCACCAUAAGAAAGUAAUCCCUUUGUUUAAUUGUUACCCUCUCUUCUACCUCAACUCUGAGUAGGAACAUCUUUCUUCUUACUUCUAACAUCUUAGAGAAGAGUUACUAACACUUUAAUAUGAACAAAUUGUCCAGAUUAUUUUAUUCUAUGGCAGACAGAAGGAAUCUGAGACAGCGUGAAGGCAUGUGGAAUUUGGGUGAAGAGCACUUAAGAGCACUUAAUAUGAAGGAUAGGGGACCACCCUGGGUCCAUGUCCCAGUUGAGCUUAUGGCUUGCCUCUGUUGGGAAUUCGACAAAAGCAACAUUCAGACUCUGUAGUGAAACAGCCAGUGAAGUGCACUUUAAGCAAGUGUCACCGCUCUUGGUUCCGCACUACUUCCCACCACCUCCUCAAUGUUUUGAAGGAGGGUGUAUUAAAAAUUUUUUAGAUUCCGCAUGUAAGUGAGAUCGUAUGGUAUUUUUCUUUCUCUGACUUAUUUCACUUAGCAUAAUGCCCUCAAGGUCUAUCUGUGUUGUAGCAAAUGGCAGCAUUUCCUCGUUUUUAAUGGCUGAAUAAUAUUCAAUUGUGUGGAUGUAUGUGGGUGUGUGUACAUGUGUGUGUGUAUGACACAAUGGAUAAAUAUCCUUUAUCCAUCAUCUGUCAAUAGAUGUUUCCAUGCCUUGGUUAUUGUAAAUAUUGCUGCAAUGAACAUGGGGGUGCAGAUACCUUUUCAAGUUCGUGUUUUCUUUCCCUUUGGAAAUAAUCCCAGAACUGGAACAUACAGCAGUUCUGUUUUUAAUUUUUUUGAGGAACCUCUAUACUGUUUUCCAUAGUGGCUGCACCAUUUUACAUUCCCACCAGCAAUGCACAAGAGUUCCCUUUUCUCCAUGUCCUCACCAGCGUUUAUCUUGUCUUUUUGAUGGUAGCCAUUCUAACAGCUAUCAAAUGGCAGAACCAAAAUUUGAAGUAAAAUUGUGUGAAUUCAAAGGCCUUGUAUUUACGGUAACAAACCCGACUAGUGUCCCUGAGGACUUGGGUUCUAUCCCUGGCCACGCUCAGUGGGUUAAGGAUCUGGUGUUGCUCUGAGCUGUGAUGUAGGUCGCAGACGCAACUCGAAUCCUGCCUGGCUGUGGCUGUGGUGUAGGCUGGCAGCUGAGGCUCCGAUUCGAGCUGGGAACUUCCUUAUGCUGUGGGUGUGGCCCUAAAAAACAAACAAACAAAAACCUUUAAAAAUAAUAAGCUUAAAGCUGUAGCUCACACACUAUUUGUUUUUGAAAAGGUUUAUUUUUGUUUUGUUAAUCUCACUUUGCUGUUUAUUUAGCUAAGGGUUUCUGUUGGCACUUGUAGGAACAUUUACCCCCUGUGCCUUUAUGAGGUUUUGGAAUCUGGUGAUCUCUUUCUUGGCUCUGCUAGUUCUCAAGGCCAGUGGAAGGAAUCCUUCCUGUACCUUCACAGGUGCUUUCCUCUCUCUCCUUCCACUGGACCUGUACAGAUCCUUGGUGGUCCCUCUGAAGACACUCAGCACAGAUUGUCUUUUAGAAUUCUAUUUAUUUCAAGCCUAAGAGUUCUUGAGUAUUUCUGCCCUUGGCUCUGAGGGCACGGAAAAUAAAGACACAGCCCUCUUGCCUCCUGGGGCUCUCAGUGGAGCUAGGGAGAAUGAUGGAAAACACAGCACGGCCACAAAGACAGUGUCUCCUGGGCUGGUGGGCAGGAGCAAGGUCCAGUUGCUGUGGGAGGCAGUGUGAGGGGAACAGGGGGAGACUCCUUUGGGAGGUGAAGUGCAGGGUUCGGGGGUGGGAAGGGAAAGACUAUUCUAGCAGCAAAGAAGAGAGCUUGAGCUUGAGCCUGAGCUUGAGCAGUCACAGGUGGUUUAUAUAGGAGAUGCUACAGAACUCUGAGUGGACGGGUGUCCUGGGGAGAGGGUGGAAGGGCAGAGACUAGAUUGCAACCCUGAAGUGGAUGAAGUGCAGAGGAUUCUCUAACCCUUAGGGAAGGCUCUAUCUGCUUCAGGUUACAGCCUGCAGGGCUGGGAGAUGGGCGGGAAUAUUGGCCCAUUGUUCCAUCUAAUGGCUUUCCUAGAAGGAAACCUCUGCCACAGAGUUACCUCUCAAGGUAACUCUGCCUAGCAGUGCUUUGCUUAGAGUAGAAAAUCAGUAAAUACGCAUUAAAAAAAUGUAUGUUUCUACACACACACACACCAAUUUAUAUUUUUCUGUUUUCUUCCUUUAAGUAGGGUAGUUAGGAAUAGAUUUAAACAGUAGGAGGAAGUUCUCUGAUCUCACCAACUGCAGGUUGGCAUGUGGUUGGGCUGAUAGGCUUCAGGGUUUUUUUUUUGCACAUUGAGGUGCUCUUUUUAAGAUGAAAGCACUUCCUCCUCUUCCUUUUUCAUGGUUUUUCAUCAUAGUUUUGACUGCUCUGAGCUUCUUCCUGGUCAGAACAAAUGCAUUUGGUAUGGCACUAAUACUGGGAUAUUUUAGGAGUGAAUUAACACAGGGAUCCCAGUGUCUAGAUAUUUGGGUUACCAGUAUUAUACUGCCUUCAUAGAGGUAAAGGGGAAAAUAACACACAUUCAUUUUCUUGCAUCCCAGAUCUCACUUAAUUUUCUCAGGCAUAAAUCAAUUUAUAGAUUCAAACAGAAAAAAAAUGUUUAUUCUGUAAAGAAAAGUAGAGAAAAAAAAAAAAAAAAGAAAAAAUACCUACCAAGUGCAAUUUUGAGGAAUGUAAAUAUUAGGGAUUUUUUUUUUUUUUUUGGCUUGACUUAAUUAAUGUUCAUUUUUUGUAGAAGUGUGAACACUUGCCUACCACCUUCUGUUGAUACUUCUGGGUUUAUUUUUAGAGAGAGGGAGAAAAAGAGGAAGAGAGAAUGAGAGAUCUUUAGACAUUUGGAUCCUUGUCUCCUACAUUAGAGAGUUUGAGAUGUAGAGUAAAAAUUAGGAAGUAGCAAAUAUUGUCCACAAAAUACCAAAGCUUAAUCCUUGGCCAGAGAUUUGGGCCUGAAACUUAGCAGUGAGGUUUAGCUCCUUUCCCCAUGUGAAGAAGACUCAUCUAUUUCCUCUUCAUUUGGCAUCAUUUUCCCAAAGCACACACACCGAUUAAUUGGUGGUUAUGAUGGAAUUAUAUCCUACUCAGCUUCACCUGAGAGAUUCUUAACCAUUUAAAAUUUAUUCAGAAAUAAAAACCCACUCUAGUCAGUGGAAAAACAACUUUAUAGGUCUAUGUUAUGCUCUAUUUAUAUUUAUUAAAUCCUCAUUUAUCCUGGGAAAAAGAUGAAGUCUUUUUUUUAAUUUAAUUUUUUUUUUUUUUUUUUUUUUUUAAGGUCGUACCUGAGGCAUAUGGAAGUUCCUGGGCCAGAGAUUGAGUCUAAGCCACAGCUUUUACCCGAGCUGUAGCUCUGGCAACUGCAGAUUCUUUAACCCACUGCCGGACCAGGGAUCAAACCCAGGCCUCCACAGCUACCCAGCAUGCUGCAAUAGGAUUCUUAACCUACUGUGCCAUGACAGGAACUCUAGGUCUUACACUUUUGUAUUGUUUUACUGUUUACAAAACUUGUUUCAUUCAUUAAGAGAUGGGAAUCUUACUACUAUAUAUGGGAAGACAUUUUAAUCUGAUUUUACAGUUAAGAAACCCAAACUUCAGAUAUUUCUUGAGAUCACUUGGCUAGCACUUGACACAGUCGUGUCUAAUACCUUUAUAUUCUCAAGCCUAUACUGGGGUUUGCU
Molecule: long non-coding RNA, 5891 nt
Filed under: Sus scrofa (pig)
Lineage: Eukaryota; Metazoa; Chordata; Mammalia; Artiodactyla; Suidae
Description: lncRNA (ENSSSCG00050034577.1)
Source: RNAcentral